RNAcentral lists this ribosomal RNA (1210 nucleotides) under Microbacterium sp. RNAcentral describes it as "bacterial SSU rRNA". It matches the Rfam family "Bacterial small subunit ribosomal RNA", at positions 221 to 1453 of the family's 1533-position model. The record is from RNAcentral. Lineage: Bacteria; Bacillati; Actinomycetota; Actinomycetes; Micrococcales; Microbacteriaceae.
AUGGAGCUCCGCGGCCUAUCAGGCUUGUUAGUGAAGUAUAGUUCACCAAGCUCGACGGUAGCGCUGAGAGGUGAUCGGCACCACUGGACUGAGACACGGUCCAGACUCUACGGGAGGCAGCAGUGGGGGAAUAUUGCACAAUGGGCGAAAGCUGAUGCAGCAACGCCGCGUGAGGGAUGACGGCUUCGGGUUGUAAACCUCUUUUAGCAGGGAAGAAGCGAAAGUGACGGUACCUGCAGAAAAAGCGCCGGCUAACUACGUGCCAGCAGCCGCGGUAAUACGUAGGGCGCAAGCGUUAUCCGGAAUUAUUGGGCGUAAAGAGCUCGUAGGCGGUCUGUCGCGUCUGCUGUGAAAACCCGAGGCUCAACCUCGGGCCUGCAGUGGGUACGGGCAGACUAGAGUGCGGUAGGGGAGAUUGGAAUUCCUGGUGUAGCGGUGGAAUGCGCAGAUAUCAGGAGGAACACCGAUGGCGAAGGCAGAUCUCUGGGCCGUAACUGACGCUGAGGAGCGAAAGGGUGGGGAGCAAACAGGCUUAGAUACCCUGGUAGUCCACCCCGUAAACGUUGGGAACUAGUUGUGGGGUCCAUUCCACGGAUUCCGUGACGCAGCUAACGCAUUAAGUUCCCCGCCUGGGGAGUACGGCCGCAAGGCUAAAACUCAAAGGAAUUGACGGGGACCCGCACAAGCGGCGGAGCAUGCGGAUUAAUUCGAUGCAACGCGAAGAACCUUACCAAGGCUUGACAUAUAGAGGAAACGUCUGGAAACAGUCGCCCCGCAAGGUCUCUAUACAGGUGGUGCAUGGUUGUCGUCAGCUCGUGUCGUGAGAUGUUGGGUUAAGUCCCGCAACGAGCGCAACCCUCGUUCUAUGUUGCCAGCACGUAAUGGUGGGAACUCAUGGGAUACUGCCGGGGUCAACUCGGAGGAAGGUGGGGAUGACGUCAAAUCAUCAUGCCCCUUAUGUCUUGGGCUUCACGCAUGCUACAAUGGCCGGUACAAAGGGCUGCAAUACCGUGAGGUGGAGCGAAUCCCAAAAAGCCGGUCCCAGUUCGGAUUGAGGUCUGCAACUCGACCUCAUGAAGUCGGAGUCGCUAGUAAUCGCAGAUCAGCAACGCUGCGGUGAAUACGUUCCCGGGUCUUGUACACACCGCCCGUCAAGUCAUGAAAGUCGGUAACACCAGAAGCCGGAGGCCCUCACCCCCGAGGGGGGUGC